Molecule: ribosomal RNA, 466 nt
Filed under: uncultured Oomycota
Lineage: Eukaryota; Oomycota
Description: LSU rRNA
Rfam family: Bacterial large subunit ribosomal RNA (bases 1-84)
Source: RNAcentral
GUGCGAGACCGAUAGCGAACAAGUACCGUGAGGAAAAGAUGAAAAGAACUUUGAAAAGAGAGUUAAAGAGUACCUGAAACUGCAGAAAGGGAAGCGAAUCGUAUCCAGUGUCUAUAAUCUGCGGCAUAUUUCAUUGGCGGCGGUGCGCGUGCUUUUGCGUCGGAAGCGGCUUUUGUUGCUCUGUGCUUUUGCUGUGCGUGGUGUUGCUGGUGCCCUGUGUUGCGGUGGGACGUCAGAGUCAGUUUGUAUGCUGCGGGAAAUGGCUGCCGAGGAGGUAGGUCGAGAUUUCGGUCUUGGCUGUUAUAUCUUGGUGGUUUGUUGUCGUGGUUGAGACUGAGGUGCCUACAAUGUGCUUUUGAGUGUACCGGGUUCUCAUUUGGUGGACUGUUUGGAUAGCUUGCUAUGCUUGUGGUUUUUUCAUCGGGUGAUUGAGUCUGGUGGUAACUUGUUGCUGUUCGGGACUUUG